RNAcentral lists this transfer RNA (63 nucleotides) under Flavobacteriales bacterium. RNAcentral's name for it is "tRNA-Asp". It matches the Rfam family "tRNA", at positions 9 to 63 of the family's 71-position model. From Rfam's summary of the family: Transfer RNA (tRNA) molecules are approximately 80 nucleotides in length. Their secondary structure includes four short double-helical elements and three loops (D, anti-codon, and T loops). Further hydrogen bonds mediate the characteristic L-shaped molecular structure. tRNAs have two regions of fundamental functional importance: the anti-codon, which is responsible for specific mRNA codon recognition, and the 3' end, to which the tRNAs corresponding amino acid is attached (by aminoacyl-tRNA synthetases). tRNAs cope with the degeneracy of the genetic code in two manners: having more than one tRNA (with a specific anti-codon) for a particular amino acid; and 'wobble' base-pairing, i.e. permitting non-standard base-pairing at the 3rd anti-codon position. The record is from RNAcentral. Lineage: Bacteria; Pseudomonadati; Bacteroidota; Flavobacteriia; Flavobacteriales.
AGUUCAGCUGGUUAGAAUGCCGCCCUGUCACGGCGGAGGUCGCGGGUUCGAGUCCCGUCCGGA